Molecule: ribosomal RNA, 794 nt
Filed under: uncultured bacterium
Lineage: Bacteria
Description: bacterial SSU rRNA
Rfam family: Bacterial small subunit ribosomal RNA
Source: RNAcentral
AGAGUUUGAUCAUGGCUCAGAUUGAACGCUGGCGGCAUGCCUUACACAUGCAAGUCGGACGGCAGCGCGGGCUUCGGCCUGGCGGCGAGUGGCGAACGGGUGAGUAAUACAUCGGAACGUGUCCUGUAGUGGGGGGAUAGCCCGGCGAAAGCCGGAUUAAUACCGCAUACGAUCUACGGAUGAAAGCGGGGGAUCGCAAGACCUCGCGCUGGAGGGGCGGCCGAUGGCGGAUUAGCUAGUUGGUGGGGUAAAGGCCUACCAAGGCGACGAUCCGUAGCUGGUCUGAGAGGACGACCAGCCACACUGGGACUGAGACACGGCCCAGACUCCUACGGGAGGCAGCAGUGGGGAAUUUUGGACAAUGGGCGCAAGCCUGAUCCAGCAAUGCCGCGUGUGUGAAGAAGGCCUUCGGGUUGUAAAGCACUUUUGUCCGGAAAGAAAUCUUCUGAGCUAAUACCUCGGGAGGAUGACGGUACCGGAAGAAUAAGCACCGGCUAACUACGUGCCAGCAGCCGCGGUAAUACGUAGGGUGCGAGCGUUAAUCGGAAUUACUGGGCGUAAAGCGUGCGCAGGCGGUGAUGUAAGACCGAUGUGAAAUCCCCGGGCUUAACCUGGGAACUGCAUUGGUGACUGCAUCGCUGGAGUAUGGCAGAGGGGGGUGGAAUUCCACGUGUAGCAGUGAAAUGCGUAGAGAUGUGGAGGAACACCGAUGGCGAAGGCAGCCCCCUGGGCCAAUACUGACGCUCAUGCACGAAAGCGUGGGGAGCAAACAGGAUUAGAUACCCUAGUAGUCC